GGCUCUUGCAUGUUAAUGUAUCAGCCAACACCUCUCCUGUGCACCUAUGGCAGACAUCAUUAAUCCAUCAAGGCACUCUCCUGUUUAGCCCAGUCCCUGCUUCAGAGCUCUUCUCAGUAUUGUGACCCAGACAGCGGCUACCCAUCAACCAGACUGCCACACAGGACAGAAAUCUAGAUUAUUACAUAAUCCAUCUUGAGAAUUUAGAAGAAUAAUAUCGCCCUCGUGCCUGGCUUAUAUAGAAAAAGGGACAGCAAGAAGACAGAUAAAGUGGAGCACAGAAAGAAGGAUGAAAUGAAAAUUAUUUGUCUAUUUUAGACAAGCAAUUUUCUCUAAUGUUCU
Molecule: long non-coding RNA, 342 nt
Filed under: Homo sapiens (human)
Lineage: Eukaryota; Metazoa; Chordata; Mammalia; Primates; Hominidae
Description: HSALNT0389310
Source: RNAcentral